Molecule: ribosomal RNA, 1191 nt
Filed under: Levilactobacillus brevis
Lineage: Bacteria; Bacillati; Bacillota; Bacilli; Lactobacillales; Lactobacillaceae
Description: bacterial SSU rRNA
Rfam family: Bacterial small subunit ribosomal RNA
Source: RNAcentral
AGUCGAACGAGCUUCCGUUGAAUGACGUGCUUGCACUGAUUUCAACAAUGAAGCGAGUGGCGAACUGGUGAGUAACACGUGGGGAAUCUGCCCAGAAGCAGGGGAUAACACUUGGAAACAGGUGCUAAUACCGUAUAACAACAAAAUCCGCAUGGAUUUUGUUUGAAAGGUGGCUUCGGCUAUCACUUCUGGAUGAUCCCGCGGCGUAUUAGUUAGUUGGUGAGGUAAAGGCCCACCAAGACGAUGAUACGUAGCCGACCUGAGAGGGUAAUCGGCCACAUUGGGACUGAGACACGGCCCAAACUCCUACGGGAGGCAGCAGUAGGGAAUCUUCCACAAUGGACGAAAGUCUGAUGGAGCAAUGCCGCGUGAGUGAAGAAGGGUUUCGGCUCGUAAAACUCUGUUGUUAAAGAAGAACACCUUUGAGAGUAACUGUUCAAGGGUUGACGGUAUUUAACCAGAAAGCCACGGCUAACUACGUGCCAGCAGCCGCGGUAAUACGUAGGUGGCAAGCGUUGUCCGGAUUUAUUGGGCGUAAAGCGAGCGCAGGCGGUUUUUUAAGUCUGAUGUGAAAGCCUUCGGCUUAACCGGAGAAGUGCAUCGGAAACUGGGAGACUUGAGUGCAGAAGAGGACAGUGGAACUCCAUGUGUAGCGGUGGAAUGCGUAGAUAUAUGGAAGAACACCAGUGGCGAAGGCGGCUGUCUAGUCUGUAACUGACGCUGAGGCUCGAAAGCAUGGGUAGCGAACAGGAUUAGAUACCCUGGUAGUCCAUGCCGUAAACGAUGAGUGCUAAGUGUUGGAGGGUUUCCGCCCUUCAGUGCUGCAGCUAACGCAUUAAGCACUCCGCCUGGGGAGUACGACCGCAAGGUUGAAACUCAAAGGAAUUGACGGGGGCCCGCACAAGCGGUGGAGCAUGUGGUUUAAUUCGAAGCUACGCGAAGAACCUUACCAGGUCUUGACAUCUUCUGCCAAUCUUAGAGAUAAGACGUUCCCUUCGGGGACAGAAUGACAGGUGGUGCAUGGUUGUCGUCAGCUCGUGUCGUGAGAUGUUGGGUUAAGUCCCGCAACGAGCGCAACCCUUAUUAUCAGUUGCCAGCAUUCAGUUGGGCACUCUGGUGAGACUGCCGGUGACAAACCGGAGGAAGGUGGGGAUGACGUCAAAUCAUCAUGCCCCUUAUGACCUGGGCUAC